This 466-nucleotide ribosomal RNA is filed under the name uncultured bacterium. RNAcentral's name for it is "bacterial SSU rRNA". It matches the Rfam family "Bacterial small subunit ribosomal RNA", at positions 31 to 507 of the family's 1533-position model. The record is from RNAcentral.
GAGAACGCUGGCGGCACGCCUAACACAUGCAAGUCGAACGGACUUAAACGGAGCUUGCUCUUUUAAGUUAGUGGCGGACGGGUGAGUAACACGUGAGCAACCUGCCUUUCUGAGGGGGAUAACGUUUGGAAACGAACGCUAAUACCGCAUAACAUAUAUUUAUCGCAUGAUAGAUAUAUCAAAGGAGCAAUCCGCAGAAAGAUGGGCUCGCGUCUGAUUAGCUAGUUGGUGAGGUAAUGGCUCACCAAGGCAACGAUCAGUAGCCGGACUGAGAGGUUGAACGGCCACAUUGGGACUGAGACACGGCCCAGACUCCUACGGGAGGCAGCAGUGGGGAAUAUUGCACAAUGGGGGAAACCCUGAUGCAGCGAUGCCGCGUGGAGGAAGAAGGUUUUCGGAUUGUAAACUCCUGUCUUCAGGGACGAUAAUGACGGUACCUGAGGAGGAAGCACCGGCUAACUACGUG